AUUCCAGCUCCAAUAGCGUAUAUUUAAGUUGUUGCAGUUAAAAAGCUCGUAGUUGGAUUUUGGUUAAGAGGGCGCGGUCGGCCGUUUGGUCUGUACUGCGUUGUCUUGACUUCCUGAUGAGGACAUGCUCUUGGUUAACGCUGAGACAUGGAGUCAUCGUGGUUACUUUGAAAAAAUUAGAGUGUUCAAAGCGGGCUUACGCUUGAAUAUAUUAGCAUGGAAUAACACUAUAGGACUCCUGUCCUAUCUCGUUGGUCUCGGGAUGGGAGUAAUGAUUAAGAGGAACAGUUGGGGGCAUUCGUAUUUCAUUGUCAGAGGUGAAAUUCUUGGAUUAGUUAAAGACUAACGUAUGCGAAAGCAUUUGCCAAGGAUGUUUUCAUUA
This 382-nucleotide ribosomal RNA is filed under the name Bathycoccus sp. Its description in RNAcentral is "partial small subunit ribosomal RNA". It matches the Rfam family "Eukaryotic small subunit ribosomal RNA", at positions 582 to 975 of the family's 1831-position model. Lineage: Eukaryota; Viridiplantae; Chlorophyta; Mamiellophyceae; Mamiellales; Bathycoccaceae. The record is from RNAcentral.